CACACACAGUUUUACACUAAAAAAGGUAUUUAUUGUUCAUCUGAAAUUCAAAUUGAACAGGCUGUUCUGUGUUUUAUCUGGCAAAUGGACCAACCAAGGGCUAAGUGAGGUAUUGAAGACUGGUAGGUCUGGGUCAUGUAAAGAAGAAAUGCGUCUCACGAGGAGGGACUCACUCCUGUCCCUUCUCUGAAUUUCUGUGGGGCUUCCAGAGAGCAGGACUCACACAUCUGGUGGGUUGUGUGUAUGGAGUAGGGAGUGUGGCUGCACAUAACCCACGUCCAGGGUCUCCAGAAGUUGGAAAUCGCAUCAAGGAUCAGCGUUCUGGGAAAGCUCCCUUUGACUUAGGUUUAAGAAGAGUUUUCUCUUAAAGCCUAGAGGGUACAAGGCUCAUUCAUGUACAUUGUUCACAGAGGAGAGGCCAAGAUGCCCAUCACGGGCUCCUUCCUUCCUAAAGGUCUGCCUUGUGUAAGCUGGAGCUGGAAUGGACAGGAUUUAGAGACGGGUUAAUCGUCCGAACCACCUGUGCACAAAAUAUCCAGGACCGUCUACCGUGUCUUAAGGGAUGCUUUCAGUGUUCUGUACAAGUCCACACUCAGGCCUGACGGGCUUCAGGCACUGCUCACUUUUUCUACACUGUUUAUCCCCACCCCUACUCCCCCCCCCAAAAAAUGGUAUCAACAAAGUGAGAAGGGAAGAGCUUGUUGAGCUAAACAGAUCGCUUAAACAAACACGGAAAGGUAGCUAUGUGUGCUGUGAUCAGGGGACAGUGAAGAAAUCAGCCUGAUCUGAAGGGGCUCGGGAGAGAACAGAAGCUUUGUGUGAACCUUGCUUGCUGGCCACCCGCCUGUCUGUCCACUCUGGUGGGAAGUUUGGAAGACCUUGGUGAUGGAAAGAAAUAGACAGCGUAGCAGGAGGAACACCAGAGAGACAGGCUGCUUUCCAGAGCCUAUUCGCAAAAAUAGCCGAGGGUGAGGAUGAGAAAACACCCUGCUUUCGUGAGAUUUUUAUUAAGAAGCAGACUAAGAUGUUAAGUAACUGCCUCUUUGAGUGCACAUCCUUGGCCAGGAAACAGCCAAUGAUUUCGGAGAACUGUAUUAUUACUUUGUGUUUGCUUAUCUUUUUCUCUCCUUACCUGAUAAUCAUCUGUAGCUCUAUCUGUCUUUUUAAGGACAUGUGAGAAAAUAGAAAAGGUUACAGAGGACAGUCGAAGAAUUGCAUAUUAUUACCUGGCUUUCCAGAGCUGACUAUGCAAUUGUUUGUUUUUGAUGAGAUAACAAUGAAGAUAGAAUUGUUCAAAGCAAAUGCUGUUCAAAUUUCGUGCAGCCAGAGCUCACUGCCCCAGUCUCAUGGAUGGCUGCUCCCUCCCAACACUGAGGAUCUCCCACCCCCAUAGUCACCACCAAUGGAACAAAGGGUGGGAGGUCUACCUUCCCAUGGGUCCAUGAGCUCCCCAGGGCAGGAACCAUGUCUCUGCAUUUCUGGAACACUGUGCCUGCCACAAAGUUACCUCUCCUUGGAUUUUUGUCCAGUGAAUGAAUACGUAACAAAAUGGGAUCCCGAUCUCAUGAUGCAUCUUCCAUGGAUGGCUCCACCCUUCCCAGAUCUGAUGACUUAGCCAUGGAACGGCUUUGGCUUUCUGUAUGCAAGCUUGGUGUCAAGAUUGGUUCACCUGCUUCCUCCGCCUACGUGAAAGCUGCUACAUAUCAUAUCUGCACUAGUCCAGGCCCUGAGAUCUCACACUGGGAGAAGAAUUUAAAUUAGAUGUUUGAUGCGGUUCCUUUUAGAUAAUGAGGUAGCACUGAAAUGGAAAAUUUCACACCUUCUGAGUUCUCUGCCCUCACUUGUCCUUACUCCAAAGGGAUGGAAAUGCAGCGGCCCAGGGGCGCCAGUUCCCUGGAACAAGAAUGGGGAAACCUGUUCCGCCAGGGAUGGUGAGAGGGGUCAGUUACCUUAAAUGGCUGAGAGUGCAUUGAGCCAGGGUAAGGUACAAGCGGGAAUCUGAGAAAGGCUUCUAGGGCUCAGGGCCAGAGAAGGGGGGUCACCUGAUGGCUGCAAAUGAGGACCGAGAUGGGUCAUAUCAGCUUCUGCCCCUUACAAGCCGCCAUCCUCAACCAGUUCCUUCACCUACAUAGUAGGAUUUAUGAUGCAUACACACCAGUUUUUGUUUGUUUGUUUUUGGCCAAUCAAGUGAUCAAAAAAUGCACAUGAAGGGCUCAGUUCAAUUCCUGGCAUGUAGGAAUACCCAAUAAAGGGCCCAAGAGGCAACAGCAGAUCUAAAAUUGGUCAAUGAACCAAUAGCUCAAGAUCCAGCUGGGUACCCAGGGCAGAAAAGGAAGUAGGAAGAUGUACCCCAGGGAACAUCUUUGGGGUUCCUUAACACACUGUUAGGUUGGGGUGAUUGGGCACUGAUUUAGGCUGGUUGCUGUCGCAUCCAACAUAACAAUGGCAUUAAACACUAAUGUACCUUAACCACCUUAGGUCAUUGCUCCAAGAUUUCCAUUACCCACUUCCUUGGCCUAGAAGUCUUGUAGGAACUUUGAUAGCCUCCCUUCUACUAUGCUCCCUAAAAUGUGUCUCCAACACUGUAAGAUUCUAUAGCCAUCAUGUGUUGGAGGCACUGUCCCUCUUCUGGUCCAGGCUAUCACUAGUCCACACCAUGUUUUCAAGGAUGACACCCACAAAGUUUCCAUACAUCGUUGUUCAUACUCCAACUCUAGCCCCUCCCAAAGCCACCCACAUCUGGUCUAAAGCCUUCCACAGCUUCCCAAGGCCAAUCCUGACCUGGACCCAUUUUGCCUAUUUCCUCAUGUCCGUGUCCCUCCCAGGGCCCCCAGAGCCAUCUAUACUGGCCUUCUCCACACACUUAUGAGAGCUCUCACUCUUUCUGGUCACUCACACUAUUCUCUUUGUAUUUUAAAAGAAGAGCUAUUUACUUCUCUUAUACAAACUAUACUGUGCUGUCAGGGUCUGACGUCUUUUCUAGUUCUGUGUUUCAAUGCGCCUAGCUAAGCUUGAUCCUUAGUGGGUGCAUCAUGAAUACACAUUAAAUGCUACAGAGGAAAACCCAGGUCACUCUAAAGGACAAACAUUUUGGUGUGAAUUUCAGAAGAUGCCCUAGGUUGAAAAGUUACUCAUCCAAGAAUCUCUCACGGAGAGAUAAGCCAGCUCUACUCUUUGAGUUGUCUAUAAUUAGACCAUGACAAAUAGGUUCAGAGCAUGUCAUAAAGAGUAAUCUUUUCGUGAGCAGAAGCUCUCUUGCCCUUGAGAUACUUUCAGUGUCACUCUAAUCUUGUAUUCUGAAAUCUUGGUUAUAUUUCUGUCAGAGGCAACUCCUGAUUUCCUUCUCUGUGGGUGGACAGUAGAGAUAUGAGGUGUCUCAGACAGUAGAGAAGUCCACAAUUAUAUAUGCUCAGCUAUUUGACAAUUCAGUGGCAUUCAACAUGAUCAGUAUACCCUAAGUGAGUACCUAAGACAGGCAAAAUGCAAAGCUAUAAAAAUAAGAGGGAAGAUGGGCAAACACAAAUACAAUAAUUAUCCAGUUUGACCAGAAUGUAAGGUGCUAAUAGGUACAUAUAGACAAUGUCACUGGAGAGGUAAAUUAAGAGUCAUAGAAAGACAUGAAUUCCUAACUUAACAAUGAUGGAUUGCUGCAGACUGUACAUGGGUCCCACCUCUUAGCAGACAAGUGUAGACAUCAUGCCUUUGCAGUGUGACCUCUGCCUUGAUAUACCAACAAGACUCAUAGCUUAAAAUACAUAGGGUUCAUGUUUCCACUUCAUCUUUGUCGUGAGGUGGGAGGUUCUCAGGUCAGGUUGCUUCCCUAGGUCCGUGGUCUGAAGAAAGUGCUGAGGGCUGAGGGAAUGGAUCCAGAAUCCUCAGUUCAGAGGAAUCAGCUCAAGCCUUCCAGCAGGGAGACACCGGGGUCUUCCCGGGAAGAGAUGUGAGAAGUAUCAGGGAGCCGCUGAUACCUGGAGCAGGCAGCGAGGCAGGGUGCCCCGGAAAGACACCUUGAUCUCCAGCAAGAGGAUGGGGUAAACAAGCCUCACCUCACAGGGAUUGUUGUUUGGAUUAGAACUGAAAUCAACAAAGAACCUGGCCGAGAGCCUGGACCCGAGUUCUGUGAUUAACACCUGGGAUCCAGAGGUGCCUGAGGCUCCGCCGUCAGGGCAACAGAAGGUCUUCCAUCUCUUCUUCCAGCUCUGCUCAGGCCACAGAAGGUGCUCAGGAAUUGUUUGUAGGAUGAAUUAAUAAUUCAAAGUUAAGGUUAGGACUUGGGGGACCUCCUGGUUUCUUACCAAGAUGGCUGCACAUUUGUGGAACGACCUUGGGCAAGUCAUUGAUCCUUUUGUGUGAAAAGCUUCCUCUUCUGCACAAAAAAACAGAGAGGAAAGAGCCAGAGUAGAUAUUCUUUCCCUUGCUUUCCUCUUGUCUGGUGCCAAAAGUCUAUAAGAAAUCAAUCAAAAUAGCAUUGAAAGUUGACACUUAUUAAGUGUGUCUUAGGUCCUGGGCCUUGGAAGAGCAUCUCUUCUGAUCAAAAACUUCACACGAUGGAUGAUUACUUUAAUCCCAGUUUUUCAGAGGAGGAAUGCAUGACCUAGAAAUCUCAUACAUUUUGUCUAUUGUCACACAACUUUUAAAUGACCAUUUCAGGAUUAGAACUUACCUAUCUGAUUCAAGGGCUUCCCAGG
Molecule: non-coding RNA, 4688 nt
Organism: Odocoileus virginianus texanus
Lineage: Eukaryota; Metazoa; Chordata; Mammalia; Artiodactyla; Cervidae
Source: RefSeq, a predicted model, not a curated record